This 529-nucleotide ribosomal RNA is filed under the name uncultured bacterium. RNAcentral describes it as "bacterial SSU rRNA". It matches the Rfam family "Bacterial small subunit ribosomal RNA", at positions 777 to 1304 of the family's 1533-position model. The record is from RNAcentral.
AAUAGAUACCCUGGUAGUCCACGCCGUAAACGAUGAGUGCUAAGUGUUAGAGGGUUUCCGCCCUUUAGUGCUGCAGCUAACGCAUUAAGCACUCCGCCUGGGGAGUACGGUCGCAAGACUGAAACUCAAAGGAAUUGACGGGGGCCCGCACAAGCGGUGGAGCAUGUGGUUUAAUUCGAAGCAACGCGAAGAACCUUACCAGGUCUUGACAUCCUCUGACAACUCUAGAGAUAGAGCGUUCCCCUUCGGGGGACAGAGUGACAGGUGGUGCAUGGUUGUCGUCAGCUCGUGUCGUGAGAUGUUGGGUUAAGUCCCGCAACGAGCGCAACCCUUGAUCUUAGUUGCCAGCAUUUAGUUGGGCACUCUAAGGUGACUGCCGGUGACAAACCGGAGGAAGGUGGGGAUGACGUCAAAUCAUCAUGCCCCUUAUGACCUGGGCUACACACGUGCUACAAUGGACGGUCAAAGAGCUGCAAGACCGCGAGGUGGAGCUAAUCUCAUAAAAACCGUUCUCAGUUCGGAUUGUAGG